AAUCUUCCGCAAUGGACGAUAGUCUGCCGGAGCAACGCCGCGUGAGUGCUGAAGGCCUUCGGAGCGUAAAACUCUGUUGUUAGGGAAGAACAAGUAUCGUUCGAAUAGGGCGGUACCUUGACGCUACCUAACCAGAAAGCCCCGGCUACCUACUUGCCAGCAGCCGCGGUAACACGUAGGUGGCAAGCGUUGUCCGGAUUUAUUGGGCGUAAAGCGCGCGCAGGCGGUCUUUUAAGUCUGAUGUGAAAUCUUACAGCUUAACUGUAAGCGGUCAUUGGAAACUGGGAGACUUGAGUGCAGAAGAGGAGAGUGGAAUUCCAUGUGUAGCGGUGAAAUGCGUAGAGAUAUGGAGGAAUACCGAUGGCGAAGGCAGCCCCCUGGGAUAAUACUGACGCUCAGACACGAAAGCGUGGGGAGCAAACA
This 423-nucleotide ribosomal RNA is filed under the name uncultured bacterium. RNAcentral describes it as "partial 16S ribosomal RNA". It matches the Rfam family "Bacterial small subunit ribosomal RNA", at positions 360 to 774 of the family's 1533-position model. The record is from RNAcentral.